This 350-nucleotide unclassified non-coding RNA is filed under the name soil metagenome. RNAcentral's name for it is "partial contains 5.8S ribosomal RNA, internal transcribed spacer 2, and large subunit ribosomal RNA". The stretch from base 1 to 120 matches the Rfam family "5.8S ribosomal RNA", at positions 35 to 154 of the family's 154-position model. The record is from RNAcentral.
GAUGAAGAACGCAGCGAAAUGCGAUAAGUAAUGUGAAUUGCAGAAUUCAGUGAAUCAUCGAAUCUUUGAGCGCACAUUGCGCCCGCCAGUAUUCUGGCGGGCAUGCCUGUCCGAGCGUCAUUUCAACCCUCGAACCCCUCCGGGGGGUCGGCGUUGGGGAUCGGCCCUUUACGGGGCCGGCCCCGAAAUACAGUGGCGGUCUCGCCGCAGCCUCUCCUGCGCAGUAGUUUGCACACUCGCAUCGGGAGCGCGGCGCGUCCACAGCCGUUAAACACCCCAAACUUCUGAAAUGUUGACCUCGGAUCAGGUAGGAAUACCCGCUGAACUUAAGCAUAUCAAUAAGCGGAGGA